AUGCCCACAUGCAAACGGCCAAAUAUUCAAACACCAAAAUUGGUUCACUUUGCGCAGGCGUAGCCAAAAGCUUAUCCAAAGCAAUGCGAUUAAGGGGGCGUUAUACUCUUUAUAAGCAAUAGUUAUACGCUUUUUUUCCCCUUUUUCGUGGAGCUGGCAACUGUUUGUGGGCAAGUUUUCCGCUUUCCGUUACAUGCAUUUGGCCAAAUUGUGUGUGGGCUAACUGGCUCAGGGCUAAUUAAAACUCAGCGGCGAACAACGAGAAUUACAUGGACCAAAAUCAAAACUCUGUACAAAAAAAGCGAAAAACUCCAUUAGUCGGGCGAAAAACUUUUCAUUUCGCAUGUGAGAUCGGAUUUGGGUUCGGAUAUGACUAUGGAAUGGGAACAUGAGGGAACAUUUGUGGAGGUGUUUUACUCUCUGGAGGCCUUAAUCCCAGACAUCAAUCUCAAUUUAUAAAUAUCUCCACAAUAUACACACAUACGCAAAGCUCGUUAAGGUAAAACGAGUUUUGUUUUCAUUUUCGUUGACGAUCUUGGGCGUUUCUUACUUAUCGAAUCAAUUUCAAUUGAAAGCAAUUACAACUGAACGCUGACGCAUGUGCAUUGUCAUGCUGGAAGUGUUAUAUCUGAAGUAAGAUUAAAUGUUUUAUGUAUCGGAGUUGUUGAGGUCUUGACAAUACCAUCUAAAAAGAGAUUAAAAAAAACCCUUCAGCCUCAUAAGCUUUCAAACUUUGCAUUUUGCACUUUAGAAACGCCAAAAUCGAACCGCGAAUCGCUGAAAUCUUGAUAACUCCAAUAUUCAAUGAACCAGAAAACGCAUGUUGCUACUGAUCUAAAUGUAAUUUAUUUCCGUGGGCUGCGAUCCGAGAUUCUUUCACCGCUCGACAAUCCCUUGAACUGCUCACCGUCAGAACUUUAUAAUAGACAUACCCUGGGCACAAUGCGACAAGUAUUCAAUAGACAUCGCAUUCUAGUGUGCCUCCAUUUGUGUGUUAGCCUUUCUACUUGAUUAUUGUGCGGCACUAACAAUGCCCUCAGGCAUUGCGACGGCGACAUAAAUUUCGAUUUUUCAGUUGCCAUUGCAAAAAGUGCCAAAGGAGGGAGAUUGGGGGAAUAUAUCUAGUACACAUACAUAGUUCUGUGGGCCGCAGAAACUCCGUUGGCGGAACAGAAAUAGAACUACAAGUGACUGACA
This is a long non-coding RNA of Drosophila yakuba, 1197 nucleotides long. RefSeq lists it as uncharacterized. The transcript has 2 exons. The record is from RefSeq and is a predicted model, not a curated record. NCBI's taxonomy places the organism in Eukaryota, Metazoa, Arthropoda, Insecta, Diptera, Drosophilidae.